Molecule: non-coding RNA, 89 nt
Organism: Canis lupus familiaris (dog)
Lineage: Eukaryota; Metazoa; Chordata; Mammalia; Carnivora; Canidae
Source: Rfam
GGGGGGAGGCCGGAUCCUGGGCUGUGUCCCUGCGCCCCGUGCUCCGGAGCCUGCGCUGUUGGAUUCACGCUCCCGCCCCGCAGCCCCCU